Molecule: ribosomal RNA, 407 nt
Filed under: uncultured bacterium
Lineage: Bacteria
Description: partial 16S ribosomal RNA
Rfam family: Bacterial small subunit ribosomal RNA
Source: RNAcentral
AUUGAACGCUAGCGGGAUGCCUUACACAUGCAAGUCGAACGGAGUGGCGAACGGGUGAGUAAUGUAUCGGAACGUGCCCAGUCGCGGGGGAUAACUACGCGAAAGCGUAGCUAAUACCGCAUACUAUUGGAGCGGCCGAUACCGGCUUAGCGAUUUGGUGGGGUAACGGCGCACCAAGGCGACGAUCCGUAGCUGGUUUGAGAGGACGACCAGCCACACUGGGACGUAGACACGGCCCAGACUCCUACGGGAGGCAGCAGUGGGGAAGUUUGGACAAUGGGGGAAACCCUGAUCCAGCCAUCCCGCGUGUGAGAUGAAGGCCUUCGGGUUGUAAAGUACUUUCAGCGAGGAGGCGUUACUCGCAGAAGAAGCACCGGCUAACUCCGUGCCAGCAGCCGCGGUAAUAC